Molecule: ribosomal RNA, 720 nt
Filed under: Triticum aestivum (bread wheat)
Lineage: Eukaryota; Viridiplantae; Streptophyta; Magnoliopsida; Poales; Poaceae
Description: partial small subunit ribosomal RNA
Source: RNAcentral
GUAGCUCAGGUGUUCAAGGCGAGGGUCAUUAAGGAGGGCCCUUGGGAGGAAGGAGGGGAUGCGGGCAAUGUGUGGAUGAAGAUGGCGACUUGCAUUCGUAAGGUGGCCUCGGAGGAGUUUGGAGUGUCCAGGGGAAGGAGAAGCGAAGAUAAGGAUACCUGGUGGUGGAAUGAUGAUGUCCAGAAGGCGAUUAAAGAGAAGAAAGAUUGCUUCAGACGCCUAUACCUGGAUAGGAGUGCAGACAACAUAGAGAAGUACAAGAUGGCGAAGAAGGCCGCAAAGCAAGCUGUUGGUGAAGCAAGGGGUCGGGCAUAUGAGGACCUCUACCAACGGUUAGGCACGAAGGAAGGUGAAAGGGACAUCUAUAAGAUGGCCAAGAUCCGAGAGAGGAAGAGGAGGGAUAUUGGCCAAGUCAAAUGCAUCAAGGACGGACCAGGCCAACUCUUGGUGAAGGACGAGGAGAUUAAGCAUAGAUGGCGGGAGUACUUCGACAAGCUGUUCAAUGGGGAGAAUGAGAGUUCUACCAUUGAAAUGGAUGACUCCUUUGAUGAGACCAGCAUGCGUUUUGUGCGGCGAAUCCAGGAGUCUGAGGUGAAGGAGGCUUUAAAAAGGAUGAAAGAAGGCAAGGCGAUGGGCCCUGAUUGUAUCCCCAUUGAGGUGUGGAAAGGUCUCGGGGACAUAGCGAUAGUAUGGCUAACCAAGCUUUUCAACCUCAUUUUU